This 927-nucleotide ribosomal RNA is filed under the name bacterium enrichment culture clone PAH76-P9. Its description in RNAcentral is "bacterial SSU rRNA". It matches the Rfam family "Bacterial small subunit ribosomal RNA", at positions 43 to 970 of the family's 1533-position model. The record is from RNAcentral.
GAGGCCUAACACAUGCAAGUCGAACGGGAUUCAGUAGCUUGCUACUGAUGAGAGUGGCGCACGGGUGAGUAACGCGUAUGCAACCUACCUCUUACAGGGGGAUAGCCCGGAGAAAUCCGGAUUAAUAUCCCAUGGUAUUUAUUGUCCGCAUGGAUAGUAAAUUAAAGAUUUAUCGGUAAGAGAUGGGCAUGCGUGACAUUAGUUUGUUGGUGAGGUAACGGCUCACCAAGACUACGAUGUCUAGGGGUUCUGAGAGGAUGAUCCCCCACACUGGUACUGAGACACGGACCAGACUCCUACGGGAGGCAGCAGUGAGGAAUAUUGGUCAAUGGGCGCAAGCCUGAACCAGCCAUCCCGCGUGAAGGAAGACGGCCCUAUGGGUUGUAAACUUCUUUUCUGCACCAAGAAUGGGCCUUACGUGUAAGGUUUUGACGGUAGUGCAGGAAUAAGCAUCGGCUAACUCCGUGCCAGCAGCCGCGGUAAUACGGAGGAUGCAAGCGUUAUCCGGAUUCAUUGGGUUUAAAGGGUGCGUAGGCGGAUAGGUAAGUCAGUGGUGAAAUCCUACAGCUCAACUGUAGAACUGCCAUUGAUACUGUCUAUCUUGAGUGUAAAUGAAGUGGGCGGAAUGUAGCAUGUAGCGGUGAAAUGCAUAGAUAUGCUACAGAACACCAAUUGCGAAGGCAGCUCACUAACAUACAACUGACGCUCAUGCACGAAAGCGUGGGGAUCAAACAGGAUUAGAUACCCUGGUAGUCCACGCUGUAAACGAUGAUUACUCGUUGUUGGCGAUACACAGUCAGCGACCAAGCGAAAGUGAUAAGUAAUCCACCUGGGGAGUACGAUCGCAAGGUUGAAACUCAAAGGAAUUGACGGGGGCCCGCACAAGCGGUGGAGCAUGUGGUUUAAUUCGAUGAUACGCGAGGAACC